GGUUUUUAGAAAUUAUUAAAAAUCAGACCUGCUCAAUGCUUUAGUAAAUAGCCGCAGUAUUAUGACUGUGCUAAGGUAGCAUAAUCAUUAGUCUUUUGAUUUAGGACUGGUAUGAAUGGUUAGACUAAAUAAUUUUGUCUUAUAAUAAUAUUUUAAAUUUCAUAAUUUAGUAAAAAUGCUAAAAUUUAUUUUAGGGACGAGAAGACCCUGUCAAGCUUUACAGAUAAAAUUUACUUUUCUUCACGUAACUUAAAUCUGUUUUACUGGGGCAGUAGAUGAAUGAAUUUUCGUUUUAAUAUUGUAAGAUUUACUUUUGGGAAAUCAGGAUAUUUCCUAAAUAAGAAUAAGUUACUGCAGGGAUAACAGCGUAAUUCUUUUUGAGAGUUCUUAUCAUCAUAAGAGUUUGCGACCUCGAUGUUGGAUUAAAAUUCCUAGUUCACGCAGUAGUAAAUUUAGGAAGUCUGUUCGACUUUUGAAAUUUUCCA
RNAcentral lists this ribosomal RNA (485 nucleotides) under Pandinus dictator. RNAcentral's name for it is "partial 16S ribosomal RNA". It matches the Rfam family "Archaeal large subunit ribosomal RNA", at positions 1920 to 2669 of the family's 2987-position model. Lineage: Eukaryota; Metazoa; Arthropoda; Arachnida; Scorpiones; Scorpionidae. The record is from RNAcentral.